This 314-nucleotide ribosomal RNA is filed under the name uncultured soil bacterium. RNAcentral describes it as "bacterial SSU rRNA". It matches the Rfam family "Bacterial small subunit ribosomal RNA", at positions 26 to 331 of the family's 1533-position model. The record is from RNAcentral.
AGAUUGAACGCUGGCGGCAUGCCUUACACAUGCAAGUCGAACGGCAGCACGGGAGCAAUCCUGGUGGCGAGUGGCGAACGGGUGAGUAAUAUAUCGGAACGUGCCCAGUCGUGGGGGAUAACGCAGUGAAAGCUGUGCUAAUACCGCAUACGAUCUAUGGAUGGAAAGCGGGGGACCUAAGGCCUCGCGCGAUUGGAGCGGCUGAUAUCAGUAGUUAGGUUGUUGGUGAGGUAAAAGCUCACCAAGCCGACGAUCUGGUAGCGUGGUUUGAGGAGAACGACCGAGCCACUACGUGGGACUGGAGACGACCGGCC